UGGCUGCGGUUUUUGCGUCUGCUCCGGGCUGUAAAACACUUUAACUCCUCCCUCCCCAAGUUCCCAGCUUUCUGCUGAGCCUCAGCUUUCUCACCGGUAGAAGAGGCCUUUGACCUCGCCUGUGUGUAAUGCCCUGUAGCUCGGGGACUGGUUUCCAGUGGAGUGGGUGGCCCGAGACCUCCCGCGGAGAAAGGGCCCCUCUGGCUGGGCCCACGUGGGCGAGGGGGUCUUUCUGCGGGGUCUGGCGUCCCGAGCCUUUGAGGGCCGGGCCUGAGCGGGAGUUUGCCCUGCCUCGCCCCCCAUAAGCAAGAAAAAUCCACGAAUUUUAGUAAAAUAUUGAUCCCGACGACACGGACCAAAAAAAAGUGACUUCAGUGGCCCUAUGUUUCACAUGGCAAUGUCACAACAUGGAAGGAGCUUGGAUCGUCAAGUCACCACUCAGAGAAGGAUUGCCCAGGAGAGCCAGUCAGCCAGCACUGGAUGUGAUAUAAAACGAAAAGGAGAGAAUACAGCGUCUCGAUCACCAUGACAACCACCUGGAAACACCUAUCUCUGUUGGCAAGCGGUGGCUGGUAAGGGGGAGAAUUUGAGAAAAGAUAAACAUCUUUUUUUCAUUGACUUGAAGCUGAUUAUCCAAAUAUUUGUAUCAUUUGAGGUA
Long non-coding RNA from Lemur catta (Ring-tailed lemur), 658 nucleotides. RefSeq lists it as uncharacterized. The transcript is spliced from 3 exons. The record is from RefSeq and is a predicted model, not a curated record. Lineage: Eukaryota; Metazoa; Chordata; Mammalia; Primates; Lemuridae.